GCCAAAAAUCUAGCCCUAUCUCCCCCAAGUAAACUCAACAUUUCAAAUUAUAAAUCAAAACAUUUUAAUGAUUAAGUAAAGGCGAUUGAAAAAUUAACAGGAGCUAUAUACAAUGUACCGCAAGGGAAAGAUGAAAUAAAAAUGAAAUAUUUAUCAAGCACAAAAAAGUAAAGAUUAAUUCUUGUACCUUUUGCAUCAUGAUUUAACUAGUCUACCCUAGCAAAACGAUUUUUAGUUUGACCCCCCGAAACUAAGUGAGCUACUUCAAGGCAGCUUAAUGAGCAAAUCCGUCUCUGUUGCAAAAGAGUGGAAAGACCUUCAAGUAGGGGUGACAGACCUAACGAACUUAGUGAUAGCUGGUUACUCAAGAAAAGGAUCUAAGUCCAACCUAAAACUUAACUUAAUACCACAAGAUUAAAAACUUAACUUUAGAGCAAUUCAAUUAAGGUACAGCCUACUUGAAACAGGAUACAACCUCAACUAAUGGGUUAUCUUAACCACCAGCACAUUUAAGUUGGCCUAAGAGCAGCCACCUUUUAAAUAGCGUCAAAGCUUAGCCAUGCGACUGUUUAAUCUCAACAACACCUAUUAACCCUUUACUACUAUUGAGUACUUCUAUAUACCUAUAGAACUUUUUAUGUUAAAACUAGUAACAAGAACUAGGCCUUCUCUUAUAUGUCAGUGUAUAUCAGUAAGGACACACCACUGAUAAUUAACACCAAUGAACUAAAAGUAGCAACUCAACAAGAAAACCCUUCUUAAUAAUAUGUUAAUGUAACACAAGUACAUUCCAAGAAAGAUUUAAAGAAAAAGAAGGAACUCGGCAAACAUUAACCUCGCCUGUUUACCAAAAACAUCGCCUCUUGUAAAAAUUUAAGAGGUCCAGCCUGCCCAGUGACCCUGUUCAACGGCCGCGGUAUCCUAACCGUGCGAAGGUAGCGUAAUCACUUGUUCUUUAAAUAAGGACUAGUAUGAAUGGCACCACGAAGGUUAUACUGUCUCCUUUUUCUAAUCAGUGAAACUAAUCUUCCCGUGAAGAAGCGGGAAUAAUUAUAUAAGACGAGAAGACCCUAUGGAGCUUUAAACAAAAUAACAAUUGCUAACUAAAUCUUAAUUUCAGAAAACCAAUCUUUA
Molecule: ribosomal RNA, 1134 nt
Filed under: Phantasmarana boticariana (Bocaina big-tooth frog)
Lineage: Eukaryota; Metazoa; Chordata; Amphibia; Anura; Hylodidae
Description: partial 16S ribosomal RNA
Rfam family: Bacterial large subunit ribosomal RNA
Source: RNAcentral